UUUUUUCCUUUUUUUUUUUUUCCCGGGGAGUCGGCCUCGGGGCUCUGCUCUCCUACCUCAGUCUGCCCUACCCUGGAAUGGGGAAAAUGCGGACAUGCCACUCAGUCCGGCCGCGAACAGUGCUCCAGAACUCAGAGAGUUUUCCAGACGGGUGGAGAUCGCGUUCCCUGCCCGCCGAGGUCCCAUCGCUUCCCUGCUGGGAAGACAAAUGAGGCGCUUUAGCCGUCUCCACGGCCAGCCCCUCCCUCAUAACCCGAGAUUCUUUGUGGGCUCUUAGUCCAUAGCUGCCUUUGAGGUGGUGUAGACCUUGCUAACCAGGACGGCCCAGUAGGCAGAGCUCAUUUUUAUUCCUGUCUGCAAUCGUGCAAAAACGCCUCUUAUGGAAAAGCCAGAGCGCCAGGAGUCAGCAAAACACACUAAAGAUUGGGCAGUCACUGGGGAGAACAUGGCCUGAAGCAACUGAAGAUCCACAAAAGAAGUGAAAAUAGCCUUAACUGAUGACAUUCCACCAUUGAGAUUUGUUCCUGCCCCACCCUAACUGAUACGAUAUAUUCUCCCCCGCCCUUAAGAAGACUCAGCCCGCCUGCACCCAGGUGAAAUAUACAGCCUUGUUGCUCACACAAAGCCUGUUUGGUGGUUUCUUCACACGGAUGCAUGUGACAUUUGGUGCUGAAGACCCAGGACAGGAGGACUCCUUUGGGAGACCAGUGCCCUGUUGUCGCCCUCACUCCGUGAGGAGAUCCACCUAUGAUCUCAGGUCCUCAGACCAACCAGCCCAAGGAACAUCUUGCCAAUUUCAAAUCGGGCCCCCAGUUUGUCCCAUCUGCACCGCCAAGAGGUCUCCGGGUGGCCAGAGGAGCAAAGUUGCCUUCCAAGUGCCUGUUGGUGCCUGGGAGAACACAGCAGGAGUGUCGUGCGGCCCACAGCGCAGUGCAUGGUGAUUCCAGGCGCUGAACAACUCCCCUUGACCCUUGGGCCUGCAUCUGACUCCCGGCUGCAGAAUCAGAAGCUGAGUCCAGGCAACCGCUCGGCCACUCCCGGUCACUCCUCUCUGGACACCCAGUUACUAAAGUCAGCAAAGAAGAUGCGGUAAUCACCGCCUGAUCUCCACAUGGUGAACACAACACUCUCACUAACACCUCCUUGACCAGUCAGUCUUCAGCACUGGGGGUGGACAGGCAGGUUUUCUGUGUUUACCAGAAUCGCACAGGCUAAGCACAAACAUGGAACCAGAGUUCCAGGUGAGGAAACCUCACUCGCAGAAGCCCAGGCUGCACCCCACCAGGUGAUGCAGUGCGCCUAGGCUGUGGGUGCUAGGAGCCAAGUGCUAGGGACUCGUCAUGAGUGGGAAUCCCCACGUUCCUGUCACUGCUGUCAAACAGAAGGUAAACAGUCUUACGAAUGUAAUUCCUUAGGAAGACUUGUACAAACUUUUAUUAGGAUAUCUAUUUAUUUAAUACUGAACUUUGGCCUACUUUGUGAUAAGACUAUAAACAAAUUGAGGAAAUCACUAUUUCUCACUUCUGUAUUUCUCAAAAAAUAAUUUUGUUACAGAGUUCAAUAUACUGUGUACUACUGAUCUUCUAUUGUGAAAGCAAAGCAUUUCAUCAAAACAAAGUAUUUUAAAU
Homo sapiens (human) is the source of this 1628-nucleotide long non-coding RNA. Ensembl annotates it as oligodendrocyte maturation-associated long intergenic non-coding RNA. Its record names the gene OLMALINC. The record is from Ensembl. Lineage: Eukaryota; Metazoa; Chordata; Mammalia; Primates; Hominidae.